Molecule: non-coding RNA, 2644 nt
Organism: Macaca mulatta (Rhesus monkey)
Lineage: Eukaryota; Metazoa; Chordata; Mammalia; Primates; Cercopithecidae
Source: RefSeq, a predicted model, not a curated record
GGAAGGAAACAAAGCUUAAGGCAGUGAUUGAUAGGUUAUUUUUUGGACACAGCUGAGCGUAUACUGUGCGCCUGCAACUUUCCGGUGCUUUCGGACCGGACUCCAGUGAAGCCAGUCAAGGAGGUCGACUUCCUUUCAGAGCGGCAGACACAGCGCCGCGGCCGUGUACCUGCAAUCCCCUUCUGGGUUUGAAAAAGAAGAUCCUAGACACCGAGCCAAAUAUGUUUGCAUAAACUGGGAGCCUCAUCUCUCUUUUUUGUAACAGCUUGGCGCAGGACAGCUGGUUUGGAGAUGUCUCUGUUCUUCCCUUGGUGGGGGUGCCGGAAAAAAAUGUGCUGCCUGGGCGAUCGAGGUUGGGGCAAAAAGCGUUGUGAAGGAAACAGUGGGAGGACUCUACUUUCACACCUCCCAAAAGGGUUUUACCAUAAGACUAUUUCUGGAUUGUUCUAACGUGAGGAUAUUGGGAGCAUUUUGAAAAUAUUGGAGGAAAAGCUGUCACUGGGCGAUUUAAAUCCAAGACAGAGUCUCACUUUGUCACCCAGGUUGGAGUUGCAGUAAGCCGAGAUCACGCCACUGCACUCUAGCCUGGGUGACAGAGCAAAACUCUGUCUAAAAACAAAAAAAAAAAAGUUAUUUUUAUCAAUAUAUAUUAACAUGCAAUGGUUUUAUUAUUAUUAUUAUUUUAUUUAUUUAUGUUUUGCUUGAGACAGAGUCUUGCUCUGCCACCCAGGCUGGAGUGCAAUGGUACAAUCAUGGCUCACUGCAACCUCCACCUCCCAGGUUCAGAUGAUUCUCCUGCCUUAGCCUCCAGAAGUAGCUGGGAUUAUAGGCGCACACCACCACGCCCAGCUAAGUUUUGUAUUUUUAGUACAGAUGGGGUUUCACCAUGUUGGCCAGGCUGGUCAUGAACUCCGGACCUCAGGUGAUCCACCCCUCUCGGCCUCCCAAAGUGCUGGGAUUGUAGGUGUGAGCCACCAUGCCCAGCCAGAUUUAUUAUUUUAAUGACUUAAUAAAAUUUUAAAUUUUAAAUAUUUAAAUUAAAUAUUUAAAACUUUCUCAGUGUUAAUUUCUAAUUUGGCAAAUAUCAAGAGAAAGACUGUGUUAAAAAGAUUCUUUGGGAUCCUCAGUAAUUUCUAGGUGUGUAAAUUGAUCCUGAGACCAGAGUUUGAGACUUACUGGUCUCAGCCACCCAGAGUAGCCAGUUGCCCCAUCCUCCUUGCCACUAGGAAUGGUUCAUGGGUAGCCAUAGGAACCACGUUGAUCCAAUCAGAGGAAGUCUCAGGAAUUUAUUAGAUGCUGGGGGAGAGAGGCUUUCAUGUUCUGCUAGACAAGAACCAGGCAGUAAGUAGCCUCAGAAGCUGUUGAUAAGACAGACAUCUUGGACUACAAGAAGAGCUUAUUUUAGGAAGAAAGUAAUGCUAUGGGAAGCAGAAGACCAUUGUUAGAAAGAAACCAUUUCCUUUAUGACAUAUUUGAGUCACUAGAUCAAACCAGUCCUGAAGUCCAUCUUGCCUCUGUACAUUUCAGUUGUAUGAGAUAGGAAGUUCCUCUGUGGUUUCAACUAGCCAACCCCAGGUGCCCCAACUGAUUUGCCAUGUACCUAUUUACGCAACACAAGUUGCAAUGAUGAAAUGAGGCUGGAAGGCAGAGAAGAGUCCAGGAGGAAAAUACCUAAUUCAGACAAAUGGGAUCUUCAGUGGCAUGUGAUCAUAAGCAGCAAGAUUAUAGCAGAUUUUUACUUCUUAUUUUUAUUUUUGUUGUUCUGUGUUUCCCGUAUUGGACAACAUGCAUAUGUAUUGCUUUUACACUGAAGAAAAAUUGGAACCUAUAUUAUUACUUUUUUUGAUAGUACAAUGACUGGCAGUGCAAUAUUAGAGAACAGGUUGGGGAAUGGGAUAUGGCGAUAGAACUCUUAGGCUAGAACUGCUAGCAGGGAAGAAAGAAGAUUUGUAAGGGAUGCAGAUGGGCCCCAAAACCAAACUUACUUCCCUUUACAGCUUUGCCAAGAGCCAACCUCAAAGAUUCCAGGGGAUGGACAAGAAUCCCCAAAGGUUAAGAAAUCAUUAAUUGUGCCUCAGUCUAAUUGGCUGGAAUAUUUGCAGGAAAAAAAAAUGUGGCCAAUGUGAAGAUCAUAUGUCAAUACUGGAAAAGACUUAGGAUAUAAUAUUAAGUGAAAAAAAUAAAAAAGGCAACACAGAUUGUAUGCAAACAUCUAUCAUGUGGCCAAAAACUGGAAGAUAAUUUGGAAAAAAGAAAAUAGUUGUGUUAGGGUGGUGGGAUCACAAAUAAUCUUUCUUCCUUUUUUAGCAAAUCUGUUUUAAUGUUGUUAUAAUGUUGUUUUUUGCAAUAAGUAAAAAUGUAGGGAGUCAUUGGUUCAAAUUACUGAGGUCUCAGAGGCCUCUCCAGAUGGCCUGUUUCUUUUCGUCUGCCAAAUGGCCCUCACCCCAUACCAAGACAGAAGCUGUGCCUUCCCUGAGAGCCCAGUGUCUUUGAAACUGUUAGGGGUGAUGCUGAUGUGACUGUUUUGUAGGUGGCCAGAAGGAAAGGAGGGAAGAAAGAUGUUGGUGGCAGCCAAGACCGAGGAUGUCUGUGAGGCAGGAGGGGUGAGGGGUCACUUGCCCUGUGAUAUAACCUUUUUGUGUUG